RNAcentral lists this long non-coding RNA (1159 nucleotides) under Lynx pardinus (Iberian lynx). Lineage: Eukaryota; Metazoa; Chordata; Mammalia; Carnivora; Felidae. The record is from RNAcentral.
CCGGCGUCGCUCACCUGCUUCUGGAUGUCCCGCACACGCUGCCCGUGCAGCCGCGGCGCGCUGCUGAGCUUGAACACCACCCAGGCGCGCACGUAGUAGUAGAUGUCGAAGAUGAGCGAGAGCGGCAGGAGGAAGAGGCACACGAACACCCAGCGCUGGUGGAUGAGCACGAACUCCAGCCCCUUCACGCGGACCCAGAGCAGGAAGAGCAGCGCGCACACGGCCAGCGACACGGCGGGCUCCAUGGUGGGGCCAGCGGCGCGCCGCGCGGGGGAGGGGGUGCCAGCUCGCGCCGCCUGUCACCGCCACCCGCUCCUCGCCCGCCUGCGCCCGCGCCGCCCGCAGCCCGCUCCCGGGGAGUCUUGGGGUCGCGUCGCCGCCUCGCGAUUGGCUGGGGUCGCAAAGGUUCGGUGGGCCGAGACCCGGCUGGCGACCAAUGGUGAGCCGCGCCGGAGAUCGGACCAGGAAACCGCUGCUUUUAUUGGCUGCGGGAGUCAGGCCGCUCCACCCUCUUCUCUCCGACGCGUGGGGAGGGGUGGCCGGGGACACGCGCUCUGGUGGGGUCAACUGCGCCCUGCGGUGCUGGAGGCUGUGCGGACGCGGGCGGCGGCGGUCGAGGGAUGCGGCUGCUGCCCCUGCUCCUUAAGUGGUGCCUCCUCGAGGGUCGCGUUAAGCGGUCAUGCGUUGGGUUACUUCCGACGGGUGCGGCGGGGGCUCCCCACCGCCCUGGGUCAGCCACCCUGCAGCUUGGCCCAGGAUUCCUGUCCCGGCCGGCCGGAGAGGAUGCAAACCUGGCCCUGACCUCGGCAGGUCAGGUCACUCCGUGCCCGCAAGACCACAUAAUGCACCUUUUAUUUAGUCUUGAGGCGCUUUUUGUAGAUUCAUUUGAGUUACACAGCAGUUCUUUUUGGGCGGUGGGUAGUAGUGUGAGCCCCAUUUUAUCCACGAGGAAACAUUCCAGAAGUGUGAAGACCUGUCGCUGAACUCCAAAAGGCUUUUGAGGGACAGGCUGUGGUCAGCACCCUUCCCCGUUUUCCACUUGCCUGAGGCAGAUAGGCAGGACUGGAGGGGGAAGAAGGAAGGAAGGAGUCCCAGCCAUUGCAAACGCAGUAGCGGCCACUGUGCCCUGCAGUGUCGCAAGCCCCAGGGGUGGGGUGCU